This 46-nucleotide non-coding RNA is filed under the name Schistosoma margrebowiei. The record is from RNAcentral. Lineage: Eukaryota; Metazoa; Platyhelminthes; Trematoda; Strigeidida; Schistosomatidae.
GCACUGCUGAAGAGUCCCACAAUAGGACAAAAUCGCCGUCCAGUGC